This 253-nucleotide ribosomal RNA is filed under the name uncultured bacterium. RNAcentral's name for it is "partial 16S ribosomal RNA". It matches the Rfam family "Bacterial small subunit ribosomal RNA", at positions 524 to 776 of the family's 1533-position model. The record is from RNAcentral.
UACAGGGGGUGCAAACGUUGCUCGGAAUCAUUGGGCGUAAAGCGCGUGUAGGCGGCUCGAUAAGUCUGCUGUGAAAGUCCAGGGCUCAACCCUGGAAUGCCGGUGGAAACUGUCGAGCUAGAGUCCGGAAGAGGCGAGUGGAAUUCCUGGUGUAGCGGUGAAAUGCGCAGAUAUCAGGAGGAACACCAAUUGCGAAGGCAGCUCGCUGGGACGGUACUGACGCUCAUGCACGAAAGCGUGGGGAGCAAACAGG